RNAcentral lists this ribosomal RNA (253 nucleotides) under uncultured bacterium. Its description in RNAcentral is "partial 16S ribosomal RNA". It matches the Rfam family "Bacterial small subunit ribosomal RNA", at positions 524 to 776 of the family's 1533-position model. The record is from RNAcentral.
UACGAAGGGGGCUAGCGUUGCUCGGAAUUACUGGGCGUAAAGCGCACGUAGGCGGUCUUUUAAGUCGGGGGUGAAAUCCCGGGGCUCAACCCCGGAACUGCCUUUGAUACUGGGUAUCUCGAGUCCGGAAGAGGUGAGUGGAAUUCCGAGUGUAGAGGUGAAAUUCGUAGAUAUUCGGAGGAACACCAGUGGCGAAGGCGGCUCACUGGUCCGGUACUGACGCUGAGGUGCGAAAGCGUGGGGAGCGAACAGG